This is a long non-coding RNA of Saccostrea echinata, 87 nucleotides long. RefSeq lists it as uncharacterized. Lineage: Eukaryota; Metazoa; Mollusca; Bivalvia; Ostreida; Ostreidae. The transcript has 2 exons. The record is from RefSeq and is a predicted model, not a curated record.
UUAUCUACAGAAAACAUAUGCAACAAUUUCUAAACAUGCUGUUCACAAAGAAUUUGAACCAUUCCAGUGUUGACACAGACAGCAAGU